UACAGAGGUCCCAAGCGUUGUUCGGAUUUACUGGGCGUAAAGGGUGCGUAGGCGGUUGGGUAAGUCUGACGUGAAAUCUCCGAGCCUAACUCGGAAACUGCGUUGGAUACUAUCCGGCUAGAGGAAUGGAGGGGAGACUGGAAUACUUGGUGUAGCAGUGAAAUGCGUAGAUAUCAAGUGGAACACCAGUGGCGAAGGCGAGUCUCUGGACAUUUCCUGACGCUGAGGCACGAAAGCCAGGGGAGCAAACAGG
This 253-nucleotide ribosomal RNA is filed under the name uncultured bacterium. Its description in RNAcentral is "partial 16S ribosomal RNA". It matches the Rfam family "Bacterial small subunit ribosomal RNA", at positions 524 to 776 of the family's 1533-position model. The record is from RNAcentral.